Non-coding RNA from Physcomitrium patens, 1564 nucleotides. The record is from RefSeq and is a predicted model, not a curated record. NCBI's taxonomy places the organism in Eukaryota, Viridiplantae, Streptophyta, Bryopsida, Funariales, Funariaceae.
UCCCAUCGACCCCUUGAUCACUUCCCUUCGUCCUCUCGCUGCGAAAUCUUGUCCUGUGCCCUCCCAUCGCUUCAAAUUGCUCAAAUCUGUGCUUAUAUAUAUGACGCAUGCAAACAACAUGAUAUCUCUGUGCCGCACGCAAACAAGGUGAUACUUCUGUGUCGCACGCAAACAACGUUAGAGCGAGGAGCCGCGGAUGGUAGGGUGAGAAUUGGCAAGAAGAUGAUGGCACAUUGAACAGCGUAUCACAAUUGUAUCCUGGCUAGACUUGUGCGCAAUCGAAUUGCGAGGUAGGAGCGGAUCUGAAUGAUGUAUAGGACGGAAGACUUCUAUAACCUGGAAUAUGGUAACACUGAACUUUAGUCGGAGAUUACAUUACACUUGCAAUGCUCUUGAUUGAACUGUCAACAGAACAUCGUACUCAGAUUUGGUAACCUCCUGACGAGCUUCACCAGGCUUGUUAUCAGAGUCAACACACCAGCUGCCUCGAGAUAAGAAAUUUCUUUGGUGUCACUGAUCAAUCACAACAUGAAGGAUGACACAGGAUCGACUGCAGGAAUUUCUUUCGUAAGAGCAAAGUAUCAUGAAUAUUCGAGAUAAGUAGCAAAAAAUAGCACUUUUACCUUUGAAGAGGAACACCUGAAGCAUAAUUGCGGUUGUCCGAACCAACCAACGAGUAGAAGCUUCCAUUCACUUGUAAUACGUUCUGGAAGACCACGUUGUUCAUCAUCGACAACAAGUCCAAUUUAGAACGACUCAUAUCAGAUAACGUCAUCUUGGACAAGCAUGUAAUAGACAGAAGAACGAGGAAAGGUGAUCUUGGAUAUUCCGCUUCUAUCUCACCAUCUUCUAUUUCAUGUAAAUGGUCACCGAAGCCGGGUAAAUCCUUUGUUGUUUUUUUUUAAUCUUACUUCUGAUACCAAUGUUGAGUAGAUAUUGUAAGCCCUGUGUGUGUGUGUGUGUGUGUAGUGCUGAAUACAGUAAGGUACACCAUUGUUUGUUAGUAGGUUCAGUAUUGAGUCACCUCGGACUUGCUUGAACUAGUGUCUUGCAUUCAUUGUUGAAUUUUGAAUUUGGAGGUGGAAAUCUUCGUGUUGGAGCCUCUCCAUCUUUGCUUUUGGACGACCCCAAAAUCAGUCAAAUUGGAGUUAGAACGAAACUUUUUGACAACAAUUGAAGUGGUAAACUGGCCCUUCGUACCUUGGAUCACCCAACCAACUUAUGAGAGAAGCAAUGAUGAACUGUGAAAUAUUGGAUUGCUACAAAUACUGGUGUUGUUAAACUUCAGCAACAAGCAAAGGAUUGUUCCAGCAGUUGGUGUCGUAGUCUAAGGGUUUCAAGCAAUCCUUACAGCUUAGCCCUUUGCGUCCCCUUGUAUACUUCCCUUCGCCCUCUCGCAGCAAAACCCUCGCUGCAGUGUGCUGUCUUCUCGCUUCGAAUUGCUCAAAUUAGCGCUUAAAUACAUGACAUCGUGACAUCAUUGUAUCGCAUGCAAACAACGUGAAAGAUUACGAGGUUGGCAUAUCAUAUCUAUAAUAAAAUAUCAAGAAUUAGUAUUAUUAGA